GACGAACGCUGGCGGCGUGCUUAACACAUGCAAGUCGAACGGAAAGGCCUGCUUUCCCUUGUGGAUUGCGGGUACUCGAGUGGCGAACGGGUGAGUAACACGUGAGUGAUCUGCCCCCAACUUGGGUAUAAGCCUGGGAAACUGGGUCUAAUUCCCGAUAGGACUGCAGGGUGGUGCCUGUGGUGGAAAACGAUUUUCUAGUGGUUGGGGAUGAGCUCGCGGCCUAUCAGCUUGUUGGUGGGGUAAUGGCCUACCAAGGCGGCGACGGGUAGCCGGCCUGAGAGGGUGGACGGCCACAUUGAGACUGAGAAACGGCCCAGAGUCCUACGGGAGGCAGCAGUGGGGAAUAGUGCACAAUGGGCGGAAGCCUGAAGCAGCGACGACGGGUGGGGGAUGACGGCCUUCGGGUUGUAAACUCCUUUCGACCGCGAGGAAGCCACCUGGUUGGAAGGGUGGUGACGGUAGUGGUAGAAGAAGCACCGGCUAACUACGUG
RNAcentral lists this ribosomal RNA (494 nucleotides) under uncultured bacterium. Its description in RNAcentral is "partial 16S ribosomal RNA". It matches the Rfam family "Bacterial small subunit ribosomal RNA", at positions 28 to 507 of the family's 1533-position model. The record is from RNAcentral.